GGCCACCGCUGAUCGAAAUGGUAAACGAGGACAAUACCAGAAGUUGUUCAGCUUGGCAGAUGGCUUUCGACCUUAUGUGAUGCCCCGGGGUUGCUUUCGGCGCCUUUAAAGAACAAUCAGACCAUCAACCUAAGCUCCGCCGUCGUUCUCAUCUGUACAUGUCCUGCAUAGAAAGCCUGACAGAGCUAUCAUCAAUCUCGACUGCUCCGCCGACGGUAAGCCUCGUCCCACCGUGGUUUGGCUGAAGAAUGGCAAGCCUUUCUUUAAACGUGACGGGGUGGAGCUGUCCCUUCGUCCUUACCAGUAUGUGCUCCGCUUGAGGGGCGUGGUUUCAAGUGAUAACGGACAGUACACAUGUAAUGUGUCAAACUCAUGUGACUGGAUAAGUCGCACCUUCACGGUGCAUGUUAAAAAACGAGAGCCGUCAAAACCAUUAAUACAAAUUAUACCCAACGUGACGGCACGUAAUGGAGAUAACGUGACACUGAAGUGUAACGCAAUGAGUGACUCCAUGCCCCGCUUCCGAUGGCUUAUACUUACCUCACCACAAAAUGCGUCAUCUUUGAUAAACGAAACGCCAAAUCACUAUAAGGUAAUCAAGCAGUCACGGCACGCGGACUAUAUUGUAAGGAUAAAGCACGACAGAUGGCGAGUUCUUCAUGUUUAUAAACUGAUGCUUGUCAACGUUGGUCAGAAGCACGUGGGAAUGUACACGUGCAAUGCUAGCAACACACAUGGCUUCUCCCUGCGUCACACCUUUCUUACCGUGGCAUCAUCAUCAACACAAGAUAUAACCACGCCUAUUCGCAGAAGUAGACCAACCGAAGAAACGUCGACAGCAACAAGGACCGUGAAAACACAACACUCGCAAUCAAAGGACGUGUUCAACUACAAAUCAAGAGCUGCAGUGCAUGUUAUCAACGAUAUUAGGAUGGUUCUUUACAAGGAUUUCGUCGCACUUUUUACGGUCUUAUGGGUGUUAACUUAGAGAAUAGUAAAGUUUAUUUUUAAUAAAGUAGUUAGGGCUCUGUA
RNA transcript from Nematostella vectensis (starlet sea anemone), 1032 nucleotides. It is a transcript of the gene named fibroblast growth factor receptor 4, with no coding region annotated. The record is from RefSeq and is a predicted model, not a curated record. The transcript is spliced from 5 exons. NCBI's taxonomy places the organism in Eukaryota, Metazoa, Cnidaria, Anthozoa, Actiniaria, Edwardsiidae.